AGGUGCGUUCAUACCAACUUUAAUGCAUCGUAUCCCAUGAGAACUAUGCAGUUAAGCACACUUGGGAUAUAGUAGUAUUGGGAUGGGUGACAUCCCAGCAAGUCCUAGUGUUGCACCCU
Molecule: non-coding RNA, 119 nt
Organism: Picea glauca (white spruce)
Lineage: Eukaryota; Viridiplantae; Streptophyta; Pinopsida; Pinales; Pinaceae
Source: Rfam